Molecule: transfer RNA, 101 nt
Filed under: Microcaldota archaeon
Lineage: Archaea; Nanobdellati; Microcaldota
Description: tRNA-Arg
Rfam family: tRNA
About the family: Transfer RNA (tRNA) molecules are approximately 80 nucleotides in length. Their secondary structure includes four short double-helical elements and three loops (D, anti-codon, and T loops).
Source: RNAcentral
GCAGGGGUAGCAAAGCCUGGCCNNUUUUUCUUUUCUAAAGAAAAGCCGCUAGUGAAAUCCAUUCUCUUAGGAGUUCGUGGGUUCAAAUCCCUCCCCCUGCA